CCUACGGGAGGCAGCAGUAGGGAAUAUUGCUCAAUGGGGGAAACCCUGAAGCAGCAACGCCGCGUGGAGGAUGAAGGUUUUAGGAUUGUAAACUCCUUUUGUGAGAGAAGAGAAUGACGGUAUGUGACGAAUAAGCACCGGCUAACUCCGUUCAAGCAGCCGCGGUAAUACGGAGGGUGCAAGCGUUACCCGGAAUAACUGGGCGUAAAGAGUGCGCAGGCGGGUUUGUAAGUCAGAUGUGAAAUUCUUUAGGUUAACUACAGAAUUGCAUGUGAAACUAUGUGUCUUGAGUGUGUGAGAGGUAGGUGGAAUUCGUGGUGUAGAGGUUAAAUCCGUAGAUAUCAAGAGGAAUACUCAUUGCGAAGGCGACCUACUAGAACAUUACUGACGCUCAUGCACGAAAGCGUGGGGAGCAAACAGGAUUAGAUACCCUUGUAGUC
RNAcentral lists this ribosomal RNA (440 nucleotides) under uncultured bacterium. RNAcentral's name for it is "partial 16S ribosomal RNA". It matches the Rfam family "Bacterial small subunit ribosomal RNA", at positions 338 to 795 of the family's 1533-position model. The record is from RNAcentral.